Molecule: non-coding RNA, 290 nt
Organism: Paramuricea clavata
Lineage: Eukaryota; Metazoa; Cnidaria; Anthozoa; Malacalcyonacea; Plexauridae
Source: the annotation of a GenBank genome assembly
ACUAAACCAAAUUGUCUGAAAUUUUGUACAGUAAUUAAAAACCCGACAAAGUUUCCAUCUAUAAACUCAAAAUAUGAUUACAUCUUUCAAAUUUUGUGCGCGAGCCAUUUUUAGUUUGUUGGAAAAGACACCCCUCCCCUGGUCCACAAAAUUUGAGUUUGAGAAAUUUUUUUCAUUAUUCUACAUUAUAGUACCCAAAGAAGCUAUACAUAUAAAAAACCGGAUACAAAUAGGUGUUUUGCGAAAUUGAGAGCAAUUUCAAAUCUGUUCAGUUUUUUUUAUACACCCUG